UGAGUCAAUCGGAUGGUUGCUCUUGGGUGAACUUUUGUAAUUUGAGAGAGGAAAGUCCGAGCAUCGCAGAAUAUGGUGCCCUGUAACACAGGGAAUCCGUGAGGAUAUGGAAAGUGCAACAGAAAAAAAACCGCCUUGGCAAGUAUAUCAAGGUAAGGGUGAAAAAGUGGUGUAAGAGACCACAAAUCUUUUUGGAAACAUAAAGAAUCUGUAAACCCCACCUGAUGCAAGACCGAAUAGAUUCAGAGAUGUGAUUCGCAUCGUUUGAUGAACGGGUAGGUCGCUUGAUCUCGAUGGUAACAUUGAGACCAGACAAAUAAUCAUCUAUCCUUGAUUCCAGGGUGGACAAGACUCGGCUUACAGAUUGGCUCAAAAA
This 376-nucleotide RNase P RNA is filed under the name Fidelibacterota bacterium. Its description in RNAcentral is "RNase P RNA component class A". It matches the Rfam family "Bacterial RNase P class A". Rfam says of the family: Ribonuclease P (RNase P) is a ubiquitous endoribonuclease, found in archaea, bacteria and eukarya as well as chloroplasts and mitochondria. Its best characterised activity is the generation of mature 5'-ends of tRNAs by cleaving the 5'-leader elements of precursor-tRNAs. Cellular RNase Ps are ribonucleoproteins. Lineage: Bacteria; Pseudomonadati; Fidelibacterota. The record is from RNAcentral.